ACGUAGGGGGCAAGCGUUAUCCGGAUUUACUGGGUGUAAAGGGAGCGUAGGCGGCAGCGCAAGUCAGAAGUGAAAGCCCGGGGCUCAACUCCGGGACUGCUUUUGAAACUGUGUAGCUAGAUUGCAGGAGAGGUAAGUGGAAUUCCUAGUGUAGCGGUGAAAUGCGUAGAUAUUAGGAGGAACACCAGUGGCGAAGGCGGCUUACUGGACUGUAAAUGACGCUGAGGCUCGAAAGCGUGGGGAGCAAACAG
Molecule: ribosomal RNA, 251 nt
Filed under: uncultured bacterium
Lineage: Bacteria
Description: partial 16S ribosomal RNA
Rfam family: Bacterial small subunit ribosomal RNA
Source: RNAcentral